UCAUCAGGUAUUGUAACUUCUUACCUGUGGGCCUUCGGGCCACAGAACAUGAUGAAUGUUGGAGAAUGAUUCUUAUGAGUUACACUCCAUGGGACUGAGGGGACCGCAACGCUUCUCAGCUCUCACCUUCUGAC
RNAcentral lists this small nucleolar RNA (134 nucleotides) under Haliotis rufescens (red abalone). RNAcentral's name for it is "U8 small nucleolar RNA". It matches the Rfam family "U8 small nucleolar RNA". From Rfam's summary of the family: U8 is a member of the C/D class of snoRNA which contain the C (UGAUGA) and D (CUGA) box motifs. The record is from RNAcentral. Lineage: Eukaryota; Metazoa; Mollusca; Gastropoda; Lepetellida; Haliotidae.